GAGCCGGCGAGCUCCGGGGAGCCGCCACGCCGCACCCGGCCGGCCGCACCGGCCCUGGGCGCGUCCCCGUCCCGCGCGGGCCCCGCCGGAGCUCGGCUCUGCAGCGGGGACGCAGACGAUCGCGCGGUCCUCCUCCCGCGCGCACACGCGUGGCUCUGCGUCCCCCUUCACUAGUUCCCAGACACAGCCGCCGCCGCCCGGGUUAACUCACUUGUGCCCUUGCACAUGGAAAUCAAGGUCAAGUCCCUUCCCAGUCUCUGGCGCAGGCGAGAGCCUGCGUUUUGUGCCUCCCAAAGCUCUGUUCUGAUGCGUCAUUAACCUGCUAAUUAAAUGUCAAGCCUUUUGGAAAAAUUCGGGUUUGAAGGUCUGCAGCUUAAAGAGUCCUUUUAAGCCUGAGCUGUUUACUCCCCUAAACUCUGAAACGUAUUUCAUCACACUUUUUUUUUUUUUCACAAAUCGACGUUUUUGCUCUAACAGUGAUCUGAGGCUUGGACUACACUGUCAACAAGUAAAAACUUGUCGUGUGGCCGGCCGGCCGUUGCUGCUAGGAAAGAAGCCAGUCGAUUUAAAGGAAAAGCAACGCAUCUUGGACCAGAUCCCAAGCAAAGUCCAGGGAGCACGUUCAGAAACCUUCAUCUGGAGUCUUGUCCCACCGGGGUGA
This 661-nucleotide long non-coding RNA is filed under the name Cavia porcellus (domestic guinea pig). Its description in RNAcentral is "lncRNA (ENSCPOG00000033127.1)". The record is from RNAcentral. Lineage: Eukaryota; Metazoa; Chordata; Mammalia; Rodentia; Caviidae.